Molecule: ribosomal RNA, 437 nt
Filed under: uncultured Clostridium sp.
Lineage: Bacteria; Bacillati; Bacillota; Clostridia; Eubacteriales; Clostridiaceae
Description: partial 16S ribosomal RNA
Rfam family: Bacterial small subunit ribosomal RNA
Source: RNAcentral
ACGGGAGGCAGCAGUGGGGGAUAUUGCACAAUGGGGGAAACCCUGAUGCAGCGACGCCGCGUGAGGGAAGACGGUCUUCGGAUUGUAAACCUAAGUUGUCAGGGACGAAACAAAUGACGGUACCUGAAGAGAAAGCUCCGGCUAACUACGUGCCAGCAGCCGCGGUAAUACGUAGGGAGCGAGCGUUGUCCGGAUUUACUGGGUGUAAAGGGUGCGUAGGCGGGCUUGCAAGUCAGGCGUGAAAUCCCGUGGCUUAACCACGGGGCUGCGCUUGAAACUGUAGGUCUUGAGUGAGGUAGAGGCAAGCGGAAUUCCCAGUGUAGCGGUGAAAUGCGUAGAUAUUGGGAAGAACACCAGUGGCGAAGGCGGCUUGCUGGGCCUUAACUGACGCUGAGGCACGAAAGCAUGGGGAGCAAACAGGAUUAGAUACCCUGGUA